This 253-nucleotide ribosomal RNA is filed under the name uncultured bacterium. Its description in RNAcentral is "partial 16S ribosomal RNA". It matches the Rfam family "Bacterial small subunit ribosomal RNA", at positions 524 to 776 of the family's 1533-position model. The record is from RNAcentral.
UACGGGGGGGGCAAGCGUUGUUCGGAAUUACUGGGCGUAAAGGGCUCGUAGGCGGCCAACUAAGUCGGACGUGAAAUCCCCAGGCUUAACCUGGGAACUGCAUCCGAUACUGGAUGGCUUGAAUCCGGGAGAGGGAUGCAGAAUUCCAGGUGUAGCGGUGAAAUGCGUAGAUAUCUGGAGGAAUACCGGUGGCGAAGGCGGCAUCCUGGACCGGCAUUGACGCUGAGGCGCGAAAGCUAGGGGAGCAAACGGG